This is a long non-coding RNA of Cyprinus carpio carpio, 370 nucleotides long. The record is from Ensembl. NCBI's taxonomy places the organism in Eukaryota, Metazoa, Chordata, Actinopteri, Cypriniformes, Cyprinidae.
GCUUCAGUGAUUGCACUACUGCUGCCCUAGCUUGAGGAUUUGGAGAGCUGGCAUUACCUCAACCCUUUCUCUGCUCUAACUAAAAGGAGACUAUUAUCUAGAUGAUGGCUCCCCGGGGCAUUACCAGUAUGGCCACCACAUGAACUUGCCUGCCUUACAGGAUCUUUAAAAGCAGCACACCACCAUGAUCCAGAAAAUGAAACGGAGCACAUCUGACAAAGGGACAACUGCAGUUCUUCAAAGACCCCCUUGACCCAUAUGAGGCAAAAUCCAGGAAACCUGCUGACAAGAUCAUCAGUGAUCCCUCCGCAUCAAAAGCACUGCAGAGCCAACAAAACCAAAACAACCAGACACAAAAACAGUUUUUCCC